This 83-nucleotide small RNA is filed under the name Sorex araneus (European shrew). RNAcentral's name for it is "Y RNA (ENSSARG00000019289.1)". Lineage: Eukaryota; Metazoa; Chordata; Mammalia; Eulipotyphla; Soricidae. The record is from RNAcentral.
CGAUGGUAGUGGGUUAUCAGAACUUAUUAACGCUAGGAUCACUAAAGGUGGUACUCCACGCCCCCCCCCCAACUGCUGAAUUU